AAUUCUGGAACAUGUCCUAUCAGAUUU
This 27-nucleotide non-coding RNA is filed under the name Rattus norvegicus (Norway rat). The record is from RNAcentral. Lineage: Eukaryota; Metazoa; Chordata; Mammalia; Rodentia; Muridae.